RNAcentral lists this long non-coding RNA (751 nucleotides) under Mytilus galloprovincialis (Mediterranean mussel). The record is from RNAcentral. Lineage: Eukaryota; Metazoa; Mollusca; Bivalvia; Mytilida; Mytilidae.
UCGGGUAAAUCUAUUUCUGUUUGAUGUGAUGCUGUUCUAAUCUUAUUUUAAUUGUCUGUUAUUUAUACUGUAUCUUUUCUUUGGUAAUCUGUUAUGUAAUAGGGAAAUGUGUGUUAACACCUGAGCAAACAUCCAACCUCAUAUCUUUUGCAAAUUAUUUGACCUGACAAUUAAACCAUCCUGAUGCAACUUUCUGCCCUAUAUUUCAAUUUCGCUAAUAAAUGUGUCAGUGAACAAAAUCCUCAAAGUCACACAUAAUGAGUUCAUAGUAAUUUCAUAGUAAUUUAAAUAAUUUAAUUACCCCUGAUUUCUCUCAGAACUCACCAUUUGAACUCAUGAUAUGUAAAGUUAAGGAUUUAGUGCUCACAUUAUUAUCGACCUAAUUUUUCCUGCUAUAACCUAUCUUGUAAAUAAACUCCUGGGAAAUACUGUGUAGCAAUGCCAUUGGUAUCCAUGUUUGAAUUAAACAUAAAUCAUAAUUUAAUUACAACUUUUAUUUUAUAUAUAUACAUCACAAUUAUAAUUUGGCCCUUGGGGAAACUACUCAGCUAAAAAAUUUAAUUUUUUGCUCCAUGCCUAAACCAAGAGCCUAGCUAUGUGCAUACUGAAAGUAGCAAAGUAUAGACCCCUGGCUUGACAUCACACCAAUCCAAUUGGAACGAUGGUUCAAAAUAAAUGCAUGAGGCUAUCAGGAAGCCUAUGAGGCUAUCAUUCCUAGAGGCUAUCAUGCCUAUGAGGCUAUGAGGAAGCC